RNAcentral lists this ribosomal RNA (465 nucleotides) under uncultured bacterium. Its description in RNAcentral is "partial 16S ribosomal RNA". It matches the Rfam family "Bacterial small subunit ribosomal RNA", at positions 339 to 795 of the family's 1533-position model. The record is from RNAcentral.
CUACGGGUCGCAGCAGUGGGGAAUAUUGCACAAUGGGCGCAAGCCUGAUGCAGCCAUGCCGCGUGUAUGAAGAAGGCCUUCGGGUUGUAAAGUACUUUCAGCGGGGAGGAGGGGAGUAAAGUUAAUACCUUUGCUCAUUGACGUUACCCGCAGAAGAAGCACCGGCUAACUCCGUGCCAGCAGCCGCGGUAAUACGGAGGGUGCAAGUGUGUAAUCGGAAUUACUGGGCGUAAAGCGCACGCAGGCGGUUUGUUAAGUCAGAUGUGAAAUCCCCGGGCUCAACCUGGGAACUGCAUCUGAUACUGGCAAGCUUGAGUCUCGUAGAGGGGGGUAGAAUUCCAGGUGUAGCGGUGAAAUGCGUAGAGAUCUGGAGGAAUACCGGUGGCGAAGGCGGCCCCCUGGACGAAGACUGACGCUCAGGUGCGAAAGCGUGGGGAGCAAACAGGAUUAGAUACCCUAGUAGUC